Molecule: ribosomal RNA, 423 nt
Filed under: uncultured archaeon
Lineage: Archaea
Description: partial 16S ribosomal RNA
Rfam family: Archaeal small subunit ribosomal RNA
Source: RNAcentral
CUACGGGGGGCUGCAGUUAGGAAUAAUCUACAAUGCGCGAAAGCGUGAUAGUUUGAAUCAGAGUGCGCUUCAAUUUGAAGUGCUUUUGCUAAAUGUAAAAAGUUUAGCGAAUAAGGACUGGGUAAGACGAGUGCCAGCCGCCGCGGUAAUACUCGCGGUCCAAGUCGCAGCCAUUUUUAUUGGGUCUAAAACAUCCGUAGCUUGCUUAGUAAGUUUCUCGUGAAAUCCUACAUCUCAAGUGUAGGGCGCGCGGUAAGUACUGCUUGGCUAGAGACUGGAAGGCGUAACGAGUACGUUCAAAGUAGCGGUAAAAUGUGUUAAUCUUGGACGGACUAACGAUUAGCGAAGGCACGUUACAAGGACAGUUCUGACAGUAAGGGAUGAAGGCUAGGGGCGCAAAACGGAUUAGAUACCCCUGUAGUC